AAAAAAAUUAGCUGUGCGUGGUGGCGGGCGCCUGUAGUUCCAGCUGCUCUGGAGACUGAGGGAGGAGAAUGGCGUGAACCCGGGAGGCGGAGCUUGCAGUGAGCCGAGAUCGCGCCACUGCACUCCAGUGAGAUUCCGUCUCAAAAAAAAAACAAAAACAAAAACAAAACAACAAAAACAAAUGCAAAAGAUAGUGAGUUCUUAUGAGACCUGGUUGUUUAAAACUGCGUAGCACCUCCCCGCCCUUCCUCCUCCAGCCACAAGUGCCUCACCCCCCUUUGCCUUCCGCCAUGAAUAUGUUUCCUGAGGCCUCCCUAGAAGUUGAUGCUGCCAUGGUUCCUGUACAGCCUGCGGAGACGUCAUUAUUACAAUGAAGGGAAGAAAGGAAGACAUGAAGGGGAAAUGGGACUAUUUACCAAGUGUAUCUGCAUAGACUAAAGGAGACAAGAGGAAGUACUGAGCACCUUGAUUCCUGCAGAUAAUUAUUUAAGAACCAUAAGAAUUCUUUCCUAGCUUCUCAUAAGCCUGCUCCUUCAAAGGGUUAACUGCAGUGAAUCAAACUAUUGGAUUAUAAUUCCAUGAAGUAAGUUUAUUGAAGACAAACAGGCCUUGGGCCGCUGCCUCUGUCUCUCCUGCCUUCCCCACUGAAUCUCCAGCCCACAUUCACAAACAAAGACAAACCUGUGUAAACUGAAGCACCACAAAACUACUUUUAUGAAAGCAGAAUGGAAGAUUUCACCUGCAUUUCCUACAUUCAACUGAAUCCUUUAAAUUGACUGAGGCACAUCCUGUACCAAGGAGAGACCUUUGUUACUGCCUUUGAUCCUGAGACCUUCUGAGCCAGCCUCCUUGGUAUAACCACGCAUUUACGGAAGAUGACGUUACCAGCAGCCCUGGGGCGCAGUCAACAGCAGUGGAAGAGCUGGCUCAUGUGUGGCUCAGGCUGACUCCACAAUCAGAGUGAUUAUGUGGAAAUCAAUCAGAAUUUUCUUCUUAGAAGAUGUUUGUUCUGACAUAAUGACUGACUUUCCAGCUAAUUUUUAUUCAUAGGCUUCUCCUUGCACAAUGAUCUCUAUUUCUCUCAAUGUUAUUCUGUGUCUUUCUUGCUUGCCUGCACAUUCUGAAAAAAAAAGGAAAGCAAUUCCCUACAUUUUAUUUUGAUACUUAAUGUUGUUUGCUAACAUAUUCAGAACACAAUGCAACUUUAUAUAUUAGAGCACUUAUAAUAUAUAUUAGGAAAACAUCAAUUAGGUACCACCAGUUAUUUUAGACAGGUAUCUCUUAGGUAAAAUGUGGUGAAAAUAGAGGGGCAAUGAUAGAAUUCAUAUGUGAAAGAGUCAAUUGGCCAUCAUUAUGCCAAAAUUAUUUUGUGGUUCAGGGGACAUUUUAAACUUUAAUUUUUAAGAAUUAAACUUUAAUUAAAUUUAUUGUAGUUUAAAUGCAAUCACAAGGAAAGACUCUGAACUGGAAACACCAAGCCAAGCUCUUUCCUAGUUCUGGUCCCCUAUAAACCCUGAAAGUUAAUGCAAUUAUUGUAAUUUUUAAACCACCGAGUUCUCAGGGUGAUUAGUUAUGCAGCAAUAGAUAGCCUGAAAAGGACCAUUCUUUCUGGCACUGAAAAUUAAGAAGAGUGAUUAACAACAUAAGAAUGUAGUUUGUGCUGUCUGCCACAGAUUUAUGUUGUAGCUUCAGUGAUUGCUUCAAAGCACCCUUACUAAUUGCCAGCCUAUUGCUGAUACCUAGCUAAAUUAGCAUGUGUUAGUUUUGAUACCACUAUAGGCAUUUAAAGGAUAGCUGAUACAUUCUAUAUAAAAUAUAAUUAUUUUCCUAUCUUUAGUUUAUCCUAAAGUAGCAGCUAUUAUAUUCGCUUCUUGAUUAGCUUUAUACAUAACCAGAGAAAGUAAAAUAUCACAGAGUAUAUUUGAAGACAUAAAAGUCUUUGGACAAAGCUCAAGUAAUGAAUCAGGAUGCUAUUACAUCCUCCACAUGACAGUAAAUAUAUUUUAUAUUCCUAAAUUUUAAGCUUUUAACAAAAGCAAAUUUUAUACUGGACUAUUUCAAUUUCUAGGGAAAGGAAAUUAUCAUUUACUGUCUUUGAGGCUAUAAUCUAUUUAGCCAUUAUUUUUAUAUUGAUCAAUUUAUAAUAAAGGUAAGAGAAAAUACUACCACAUAUAUGUUGUUUAUAUAAUUUUAACUUUCAUAAUUAAAAUACUGGGUAUACUGCAAGAUGUCAAUAUUUAUAAUAGCUUAUAUUUGGAAACAAUUAUACUUUAUAUACUCCUAAUCCAUUGCCUUGUGUGUCAUUGAAGAAAUUGAAGUUCACAAUAAUGACUGAACAAAUGCUCAAAGCUGGUCUGUGGCAGAACCAAAAAUUUCCAUGGCACCUUUCUCUUUCCAUAUUGGGGUGAUCUGCCUAAUUUGACUUUCUGCUUAUAUGUCUAGACUCUACCCCUCAUUCCUUCUGCUAGUGUGUUGUUGAACCCUUUCUAUUAACCCACUCUCGAUUUUUCUGUUGCACAAUCAAUCUGUAGCCUGAAUGUUGAGUCCCAAAUGCAUGAGCUACCUGGCCGAGUAAUCUAACUAGAUUAGCCUGAGUAUAUCACUUUAAGGCCAAUGUAAAGUUAUGUUGUAACUACCUCAUAGUUUUGCAGAGGCAAGAAAUAGAAGUUAAGGAAGAGAAGAAGCCAAUCUUGAAUCAGUUAGAAUUUCCUUGGACAUAGAAAAUCUCUACAAGCAAAAACCCAUUUGAUUGAACAAGCAAGCUUAUGCAGUUAAAUAUAUCAAAGAUCUUGUCACAAAAAGUGUAAAGGGAAAGUAAAAUAAGGAGGGAGCAUGAAGAAGCCAGCUUAUAUUAAAGAUUCAAAGCAGGGAUAUAAGGAAAUUCAAGCCAAAAAUAAGGAAGAAUUCUUAUAAAUGCCCCAAGAAUGAAUUCGAUGUUUGGUCGAUAUUCCAACAGAUUUAGUAAUGCUAUUUUUAAAGUCAACAGGCUGCCCAUUUUUGCCUCACACUCUGACUGCAUGUAAUCUGUCAAGUACUCUGAUGAGUUCUGGAGAUGCUAAUGCAAAAAAGAUAUAAAAUCCUUACCUUGAAAAUGUAGUUCACAAUUUAGCCAUGGAGUUAUGGCAAGCAUCUUGUCUUCAAUUUUAGCCCCUCCUCCAUCCCUCUCCCAGACACCCAUUGUCCUCUUUCUCACCACAUCCACCCCCUUUUUUGUCCUGUCUUUGGUGCACUAUUUAUAAUUCUUCUCAUGUCUACCACAACUAUUUUGGGUAGUAAGAACAUCAGUAUGGAGACCCCUUAAUCCUAACUAAUAUCAACUCUAUCUGUUUGGUAUUAAUUCUUGUUUAUUGAACUUGAGGCAUUGAGUACUACAAAAAUUAUAAUACACUACUGGUGAACAUUACUUUAUUAAUGAUUAGGUUCCACUUGGAUGUUUGUCAUUCGUAUGUAGCUGUUCUCUCCUUGUAGCCUGUAAACUUUCUAUGGAUGUCACAAAAAGAGUUUUAAGGAUUUUGCUUAAAUUAAAAUUAAUACAUCAAGAAAAUACUAUGCCUCAAACAAAAAAUAAUCAGUUAAUUUAGUUUUUAGAAAUCUUUUACAAAAAACGUGAUAUUUAAUAAUCUUUAUGCAAGGAUUUUUGGGAUAUUAAAAUUGUCACAGAUUUAAUAAUACGUUUUAUUGUAUAAAAUUUUUCUUUUCUCUUCAAAGUGUUGGGAGAGUGAAUUCUCUAAGUAAAAACUGAAGAGUAAGAUGUUAUCAUUAAACAUUUCAGAAAAUGCACACUAUCGUAGACUGCGCACUGUGAAAAUGAUCAGCUAGUAGAGGUUUUGGUGAACAUAUAGUAACUUUUAUCAACAAGUAAUGUGAAUAUGUGAAAUCUAUUGCUUUUCCAAAAGAAAGAAACUUUUACACUUCUUGGUAAAGAUAAACUUUCAUGUAAGAAAAAAUAAAAACAUAAUUUUAGCAAUCCAAACCAUACUAAAAUCAUAAACACUUGACCACAUGUUUGAGUACC
This 4015-nucleotide long non-coding RNA is filed under the name Homo sapiens (human). RNAcentral describes it as "HSALNT0206310". The record is from RNAcentral. Lineage: Eukaryota; Metazoa; Chordata; Mammalia; Primates; Hominidae.